This 203-nucleotide long non-coding RNA is filed under the name Sorghum bicolor (sorghum). RNAcentral's name for it is "long non-coding RNA (SBIC_LNC015972)". Lineage: Eukaryota; Viridiplantae; Streptophyta; Magnoliopsida; Poales; Poaceae. The record is from RNAcentral.
CCGGCGGCUCGCUGCGCAGUGUUUUUCUUUUUCUUUUUAUGCAGUUUUUGCUUUAUAUUUGAAUUUGUGUAAUAAAUCUUGUGUUGAUCCAAAAAUCAUGGAAAUUUUUGUAUAGAUUCCCUGAAAUAAGUAGAACCCAAGAAAAAUAUUCGAUUUUAUUUUCUGAUAGUUUACAUGUGUAUGAAAAUUGCCUCUUUUGUAUA